Molecule: ribosomal RNA, 253 nt
Filed under: uncultured bacterium
Lineage: Bacteria
Description: partial 16S ribosomal RNA
Rfam family: Bacterial small subunit ribosomal RNA
Source: RNAcentral
UACGGAGGGUGCAAGCGUUAUCCGGAUUUACUGGGGUUAAAGGGUGCGCAGGCGGAUAUGUAAGUCAGUGGUGAAAUCUUCCCGCUUAACGGGAAAACUGCCGUUGAUACUAUAUAUCUUGAAUGCUGUGGAGGUAAGCAGAAUAUGUCAUGUAGCGGUGAAAUGCUUAGAGAUGACAUAGAAUACCUAUUGCGAAGGCAGCUUACUACGCAGAUAUUGACGCUCAUGCACGAAAGCGUGGGGAUCAAACAGG